CCACGCCGUAAACGAUGAUAACUAGCUGUCCGGGAACUUGGUUUUUGGGUGGCGCAGCUAACGCAUUAAGUUAUCCGCCUGGGGAGUACGGUCGCAAGAUUAAAACUCAAAGGAAUUGACGGGGGCCUGCACAAGCGGUGGAGCAUGUGGUUUAAUUCGAAGCAACGCGCAGAACCUUACCAGCGUUUGACAUGUCCGGACGACUUCGAGAGAUCGAUUUCUUCCCUUCGGGGACUGGAACACAGGUGCUGCAUGGCUGU
This 260-nucleotide ribosomal RNA is filed under the name uncultured bacterium. Its description in RNAcentral is "partial 16S ribosomal RNA". It matches the Rfam family "Bacterial small subunit ribosomal RNA", at positions 795 to 1052 of the family's 1533-position model. The record is from RNAcentral.